RNAcentral lists this ribosomal RNA (496 nucleotides) under uncultured bacterium. RNAcentral describes it as "partial 16S ribosomal RNA". It matches the Rfam family "Bacterial small subunit ribosomal RNA", at positions 30 to 523 of the family's 1533-position model. The record is from RNAcentral.
AUUGAACGCUGGCGGAAUGCUUUACACAUGCAAGUCGAACGGUAGAGGGGGCAACCCCUCGAGAGUGGCGAACGGGUGAGUAAUAUAUCGGAACGUGCCCAGUCGUGGGGGAUAACGUAGCGAAAGUUACGCUAAUACCGCAUACGAUCUACGGAUGAAAGCGGGGGAUCGCAAGACCUCCCGCGAUUGGAGCGGCCGAUAGCAGAUUAGGUAGUUGGUGGGGUAAAGGCUCACCAAGCCAACGAUCUGUAGCUGGUCUGAGAGGACGACCAGCCACACUGGAACUGAGACACGGUCCAGACUCCUACGGGAGGCAGCAGUGGGGAAUUCUGGACAAUGGACGCAAGUCUGAUCCAGCCAUUCCGCGUGCAGGAUGAAGGCCCUCGGGUUGUAAACUGCUUUUGUACGGAACGAAAAGGUUUCCAUUAAUACUGGGAGCUCAUGACGGUACCGUAAGAAUAAGCACCGGCUAACUACGUGCCAGCAGCCGCCGUAA